Molecule: ribosomal RNA, 371 nt
Filed under: uncultured bacterium
Lineage: Bacteria
Description: bacterial SSU rRNA
Rfam family: Bacterial small subunit ribosomal RNA
Source: RNAcentral
AAUGAACGUUGGCGGCGUGGAUUAGGCAUGCAAGUCGCGCGACAAGGUUCCUUCGGGGACUGGAGGAGCGGCAAACGGGGUAGUAAGGCAUCGGAACGUACCCUCUCGUCUGGGAUAGCCACGGGAAACUGUGAGUAAUACCGGAUGAUAUCGAGAGAUCAAAGGUCCGCCGCGAGGGGAGCGGCCGAUGUGAUACCAGCUAGUUGGUAGGGUAAUGGCCUACCAAGGCUUAGACGUCUAGGGGGUGUGAGAGCAUGGCCCCCACCACUGGGACGUGAGAUACUGCCCAGACACCUACGGGUGGCUGCAGUCGAGAAUCUUCGGCAAUGGGCGCAAGCCUGACCGAGCAACGCCGCGUGCGGGAGUGAAGG